This is a long non-coding RNA of Stegodyphus dumicola, 345 nucleotides long. Lineage: Eukaryota; Metazoa; Arthropoda; Arachnida; Araneae; Eresidae. The record is from RefSeq and is a predicted model, not a curated record.
GCUUUGCCCGUUCUGGGGUUCUGUGCUACAGUUACACCCACAAUUUUGAUCGGACAUCGUAUAAAAUGGACCAGUUACAAGAGGAUCUAUUUUUCCGGUACUGAAAUGAAUCCCACAUCGAGAAACUGAUCGCCAACAUGAUCAGUUUUCUCACUCCACCUGCCUACUUCGUACAGGUGAAGUUCAUGACGACGCUGAUACUAUUAUAUUAUUUAGUGAUCUGUGAUCGAGAAGGAGGUGACUAGACUGCUGGCCUGGACGGUGCCGGGCCAUGGGCACAUUGUGUCAUAACUUCAUCACUGCAACAGCCACCUUAUUCCUGAUUGUCUAUGUGGUGAACCUCCA